Long non-coding RNA from Capsella rubella, 802 nucleotides. RefSeq lists it as uncharacterized. Lineage: Eukaryota; Viridiplantae; Streptophyta; Magnoliopsida; Brassicales; Brassicaceae. The transcript is spliced from 3 exons. The record is from RefSeq and is a predicted model, not a curated record.
CGAGAAGAAUUCUUUUACUGCGUAUCCUCCAAGGCGUUGCAUCGUGCUCUCAAUUCUCAAGAAUAAUUAAGUCGUAAGUUAUGGAGAGAGGGUAUUGAUCGGGAACCAUAACCGGAGGCUCAAGUAACAACAGAUAAGUGUUAAUUUAAAUUAAUUUAAACAUCUUAAAAUAAUCUAAACAUUACAAUUCCAAUAAGAAAAGUAUAUACCGUGUGUGCUAAUUUCUUUUUCCAAGAUCUAAACCUUAAUUAAUAUCUCUUCAUGGAAUCUAUGAUGAGAUUCUUAUAGGAGGAUUCACGACUUGAAUUUGUGGGAUAUUGAAAACGUAAAAGUACCUCGAGACUAUGAUCACGUACGUAGUCAUGCGGCUUUUUUUUUCUCUCAGCAAGGGCUUGACCCAUUGAUAGCCGAAGUUGUGAUAGGGAGAAAUAGGCAGAGGAUAUGGUCGGAGGAUCUCACUCAUGGCAAUUUAUUGGUUGUGUGUGAGUAGACUGGAGCUAACGAGUCUAGGCUAAACUCAGAUGGUCUUAGCGGUGCUCAUAUACAAGCAAACGCUCAUCGUGAUGACCAGACAGGGGUUUUGAUGAAGAUUUUUGCAAAAUAAAUUAAUACAAAUGAUUUUGUACUAUUCUCGUUCAUCCUUCUCAUCAUUCCACUUCUGAUUGUUUAUACGGUGCUCCGAACAACAUAUGUUUUGAAUUGUAAACCAUCUUUGUAAUUGGUCAUAACGCUUAUAUGGGUACCUUAAGUCAAUCUCAGUGUAAAUAAUCAACUUCUGAACAAGAUCGGGUAUAAUAAUAUA